CAGAGGUGCCGAGCGUUAGGCGAAAUCACUGGGCUUAAAGCGUGUGUAGGCGGAUGCCUAAGUACCUUGUGAAAUCCCACGGCUUAACCGUGGAACUGCUUGGUAUACUGGGUGUCUUGAGCCACUUAGGGGCGACCGGAACAAACGGUGGAGCGGUGAAAUGCGUAGAUAUCGUUUGGAACGCCAAUGGUGAAAACAGGUCGCUGAGAGUGCGCUGACGCUGAGACACGAAAGCCAGGGGAGCGAACGGGAUUAGAUACCCCGGUAGUCCUGGCCGUAAACGAUGUCGACUAGAUCGUGGCAGCUCUGACGUUGUCACGGUCGAAGCAAAAGUGCUAAGUCGACCGCCUGGGAAGUACGGUCGCAAGGCUAA
Molecule: ribosomal RNA, 373 nt
Filed under: uncultured organism
Description: bacterial SSU rRNA
Rfam family: Bacterial small subunit ribosomal RNA
Source: RNAcentral